AUUGAACGCUGGCGGCAGGCCUAACACAUGCAAGUCGAACGGUAACAGGAAGAAGCUUACUUCUUUGCUGACGAGUGGCGGACGGGUGAGUAAUGUCUGGGAAACUGCCUGAUGGAGGGGGAUAACUACUGGAAACGGUAGCUAAUACCGCAUAACGUCGCAAGACCGAAGAGGGGGACCUUCGGGCCUCUUGCCAUCGGAUUUGCCCAGAUGGGAUUAGCUUGUUGGUGGGGUAACGGCUCACCAAGGCGACGAUCCCUAGCUGGUCUGAGAGGAUGACCAGCCACACUGGAACUGAGACACGGUCCAGACUCCUACGGGAGGCAGCAGUGGGGAAUAUUGCACAAUGGGCGCAAGCCUGAUGCAGCCAUGCCGCGUGUAUGAAGAAGGCCUUCGGGUUGUAAAGUACUUUCAGCGGGGAGGAAGGGAGUAAAGUUAAUACCUUUGCUCAUUGACGUUACCCGCAGAAGAAGCACCGGCUAACUCCGUG
This 490-nucleotide ribosomal RNA is filed under the name uncultured bacterium. RNAcentral's name for it is "partial 16S ribosomal RNA". It matches the Rfam family "Bacterial small subunit ribosomal RNA", at positions 30 to 507 of the family's 1533-position model. The record is from RNAcentral.